UGGGGAAUUUUGGACAAUGGGCGCGAGCCUGAUCCAGCCAUGCCGCGUGAGUGAAGAAGGCCUUCGGGUUGUAAAGCUCUUUCGGCGGGGACGAAACGGUUCGUGACAACACCACGGACUAAUGACGGUACCCGCAUAAGAAGCACCGGCUAACUACGUGCCAGCAGCCGCGGUAAUACGUAGGGUGCAGGCGUUAAUCGGAAUUACUGGGCGUAAAGCGUGCGCAGGCGGUUUGUUAAGACAGGUGUGAAAUCCCCGGGCUUAACCUGGGAAUUGCGCUUGUAACUGGCAGGCUAGAGUGUGGCAGAGGGGGGUGGAAUUCCACGUGUAGCAGUGAAAUGCGUAGAUAUGUGGAGGAACACCGAUGGCGAAGGCAGCCCCCUGGGUUAACACUGACGCUCAUGCACGAAAGCGUGGGGAGCAAACAGGAUUAGAUACCCAAGUAGUCCCUGAGCGGGCUGGCAAGGCGCAU
This 472-nucleotide ribosomal RNA is filed under the name uncultured bacterium. RNAcentral describes it as "bacterial SSU rRNA". It matches the Rfam family "Bacterial small subunit ribosomal RNA", at positions 355 to 825 of the family's 1533-position model. The record is from RNAcentral.